AACGAACGACAAUACAAUAACCUGAAUAUUUCCGUUAUUCAUGUAGCUUGAGAUUCUUUGAUCACAUUGCUAAAUUUCAUCAAUACAUCUGUAUGACAUUUUGCUCUUUUUCCCACCUGAAGACACACCAUAACUCAAGCCUAAGGAAAAAUGAAUACAAGGCUUCUAUCCAUUUCAAAAGGCAGCCGGGAGUUGGGAGAUUCAUCAUCAUUUCUCAAUUCACGGCAACAUCAAUUAACUUUGGUCGACAUCUUAGCAAUGAUAUGCAAAAAUAAUUUCCA
This 281-nucleotide unclassified non-coding RNA is filed under the name Hevea brasiliensis (rubber tree). The record is from RNAcentral. Lineage: Eukaryota; Viridiplantae; Streptophyta; Magnoliopsida; Malpighiales; Euphorbiaceae.